CCCUUUGGGGUGUGACUGCGUACCUUUUGUAUAAUGGGUCAGCGACUUAUAUUCUGUAGCAAGGUUAACCGUAUAGGGGAGCCGGAGGGAAACCGAGUCUUAACCGGGCGUUAAGUUGCAGGGUAUAGACCCGAAACCCGGUGAUCUAGCCAUGGGCAGGUUGAAGGUUGGGUAACACUAACUGGAGGACCGAACCGACUAAUGUUGAAAAAUUAGCGGAUGACCUGUGGCUGGGGGUGAAAGGCCAAUCAAACCGGGAGAUAGCUGGUUCUCCCCGAAAGCUAUUUAGGUAGCGCCUCGUGAACUCAUCUCCGGGGGUAGAGCACUGUUUCGGCUAGGGGGCCAUCCCGGCUUACCAACCCGAUGCAAACUGCGAAUACCGGAGAAUGUUAUCACGGGAGACACACGGCGGGUGCUAACGUCCGUCGUGAAGAGGGAAACAACCCAGACCGCCAGCUAAGGUCCCAAAGUCAUGGUUAAGUGGGAAACGAUGUGGGAAGGCCCAGACAGCCAGGAUGUUGGCUUAGAAGCAGCCAUCAUUUAAAGAAAGCGUAAUAGCUCACUGGUCGAGUCGGCCUGCGCGGAAGAUGUAACGGGGCUAAACCAU
This 607-nucleotide ribosomal RNA is filed under the name Salmonella enterica subsp. enterica serovar Mikawasima. Its description in RNAcentral is "partial 23S ribosomal RNA". It matches the Rfam family "Bacterial large subunit ribosomal RNA", at positions 582 to 1190 of the family's 2925-position model. The record is from RNAcentral. Lineage: Bacteria; Pseudomonadati; Pseudomonadota; Gammaproteobacteria; Enterobacterales; Enterobacteriaceae.